GGGGUAGUAAAGGUUUCGACAGGGGUCUUGCAGCUGGAGAAGCUAUCCGUUGCGACACGUUAAUCGCACAAUUAAACUAAACGCUGAAGAUAAUACUCAGUUAGCAUUUGCAGCGUAAGCUGUGAAUGACGCCGCAGCUGCGGCUCGUCCGCUCCGGGGCACUCACAACCCGGAAUCCGGGCGUCAUCCUUGUGAGAAACGACACGCGUUAAGCUUUGCGCGCGCGGGCGUAUCAUGAAGCUACCUUAAGCGUCAGAUUGUUCGUUUUCUGAUGCGGUAGGGAACAGGGCGGGCAAGGCCGCCCCCAAAAACGGACUAUGAUAGUAGAAGGACAGGGAAUGGGCUUUUGGACACGGGUUCGACUCCCGUCUACUCCACU
Molecule: transfer-messenger RNA, 379 nt
Filed under: uncultured Acetatifactor sp.
Lineage: Bacteria; Bacillati; Bacillota; Clostridia; Lachnospirales; Lachnospiraceae
Rfam family: transfer-messenger RNA
About the family: Bacterial tmRNA, also known as 10Sa RNA or SsrA, is named for its dual tRNA and mRNA-like properties. Its role is to liberate the mRNA from a stalled ribosome.
Source: RNAcentral